CAUCGCACACACCCUCUGCCACACACCACUCGCCGGCACCGGGAUCCCACCGGCCGCAAUCGCAGUUCACGAGGCCGCCGCUUCGACUCCCGCCUACACCGGCUGCAGCUGAACCCGACGCAGCAGCGGUCACUGCGACACCCGCAGGCGGGACAGGAGGGCCACGCGGUAGCGCAACUGCAGUGCGAAAAACUGCUCCAUCUGGGCAGACUGGAGGGGGUCUUGUGAUCGGACACCCAGCUGACACACCUAGGUCACACCACGGCGAGUUUUGUUGUUCCCAAGGGUGACACCGAUGACGUAGCUGCCGGCGAUCCGCCCACGUUUUCGGCACGUGCAGCUCAG
Molecule: long non-coding RNA, 345 nt
Organism: Schistocerca gregaria
Lineage: Eukaryota; Metazoa; Arthropoda; Insecta; Orthoptera; Acrididae
Exons: 4
Source: RefSeq, a predicted model, not a curated record